AUGUAUUAUUUAUACAAAUUUCGGUAAUAAAAACUUUAACCACUUGGUAGUUUUACAUGCUUCGGUGGGAAUUCUUGUUCAGUGUAAUUUUGGGCCACAAUCAAUACAUUUCAAGUCAUAAUAAGCUUGUGUCUAGUAAUAACGACAUCUAAAAAACGCAUAGAAAUGAACAUUCAGCUAUGACAUGGAAUUCAACCACUAGAUUCAUCAACACUAACAAUGCGCAUAUGAAAUCCCUAAAAUUGUAUGAGGCAUUCUAUUCAAAUAUUUCAUGCUUUGUUUAAACAAUUGCGUGAGGAAUAUAGUAACUGUCAGUCACUGUGGUGUGAUGCAAAGGAUGUGAAAUGUGAUACCUGGAGAAAUUCAGGUUUUACAGCGUUCCUAGUUUUUUCGGUAAAAAAAAAAUGGCUGCCAGGGGGGGGGGGGCAGUUUACCUGAUAUGACUAAAGAGAAACCUUGUAAACAUGGAAGUCACAUUUUGUGCCUAAUAAUUGUAAAACUUAGUCAAGACAUUGGUUUUAUUGAUAUCUCCGACAAGUUGGAAAAUUGCUCAGAUAAGGGGCAUGUGGGGUCAAAAUCUAGGUCACCAGGUCAAAGCUUGAAAAACCUUGUUAACACAAAAGAUUCCACAUUUGUAACUCAAUUAUGCAUCAUGUAGAAUAUGCAUCAAAACCGUAUUUCCAUUUUUUCUUUGGAUAUUCUUAUGUUUUAAAUGAAACAGUUGUAUGUGUGUGUGCGCGCGCAUGUUUGUGCGAGUUUAUUUGCGUGGGUAUCUGGACUAUCUUCUGUUGACAUUUAUAAACCCUUUUUUGAUCCGUAACAUUCAUGUAUAUUGUGAAGAGACACUUUAGUUUUAUGUUCUUUUAUGUUCUAUCUUCUUGCAUAGUCCAUUGAGCAACUUUUCCUGCAUAAAGUUUACAUAGCUUCAAGUGUAAAUACGUUGGCAUCCUAUGCUGUUUUAGAAUUUUACUUCUUGUUUUUUAGUAAUUAGAGUAGAAUAUGCAUCAUAUCCUUAUUUCCAUUUUUUUCUUUGGAUAUUCUUAUGUUUUAAAUGAAACAGUUGUAUGUGUGUGUGCGCAUGUUUGUGAGGUUUGUUUUUUAGGGCAUCUGGACUAUCUUCUGUUUACAUUUAUAAACCCUUUUUUGAUCCGUAACAUUUGUUUAUAUUAUGAAGAGACACAUUAGUUUUAUGUUCUUUUAUGUUCUAUCUUCUUGCAUUGUCCAUUGAGCAACUUUUCUUGCACGAAGUUUACAUAGCUUUAAGUUUAAAUACGUUUGCACCCUAUGCUGUUUUAGAUUUUUACUUCUUGUUUUUGUAAUUAGAGUAGAAUAUGCAUCAUAUCCUUAUUUCCACUUUUUAGCUCACUUGAGCGAUAGCUUGGGGUGAGCUAUUGUGAUCACUCACCGUCCGGCGUCCGUCCGUCCGUCCGUCUGUCUGUCUGUCUGUCUGUCUGUCUGUAAACAAUUUGUAAACAUCUUCUUCUACUAAACCAUUGAGCCAAUUUCAACUAAAUUUCAUGUGGAGCAUCCCUCGGUCAUGGGACAAAAGAAUUGUAAAAAAAAAUUUGAUCACAUAACCAAGAUGGCCGCCAUGACCAUAUAUGGUAAAAACCUUAAAAAAUCUUUUUGUCAGAAACCGCUCAUCAGAUUUUCAAAAAAUUUCACAGGGAUGACCUUUGAAGGCUCCCCUGAAAAAGUUGUUCAAAGAAAUUUGAUUCGUCAAAAAACAUGGCCGCAGGAGCUCGUUGAACUUUGCAUGUUUAUUCGUUUUUGCCUAUUUUGUGAAAACUUUCAAAAAUCUUCCACAUUUUUUGUCCGAUCCUUUCCAAAUUUGCACAGUGUCUUUAUAUCAAUGAGGACACGAACCCUACAAAAAUGAGCAUUAUUGGUCAAUGAAGUACAGAAUUACCUCCCCUUGAAUUGAGAAAAUGGUGUUUAUGCAAUUAAGUCCAAAUUUUUCAUCCAAUUCUUUCCAAACUUGCACAGUGUCUUCAUAUCAAUGAAAACUUGAGCCCUGUCGAGAAUGAGCAACAUCGGACCAUUUAGUCCAGAAUUAUCUCCUUGAGAUGGCAGAUUUAGAAAUAAUUAUAGUGAACUCUUUUUUCCAAUUAAUAGUGCUAUUAGAGUAAAGGAUUUGCUGGCUACAGGCCAGGUUUCUCUGACACGAUUCUCUUCUGAUGGCUUUGCUGCAGACCACAUAAACCCUUAACCCAGAACAGUUAAUUCUUUCUGCAAAUGUUUGUGACUGUGGAAAUCAUUGAAAUAAAAGGAGAAAUUGCUGAAAUUAGCAUUUUCUCCUUUCAUCACAAUGCUUCCUACCCUAUUAAAUAAGUUUCUUCUUAUUCCAUAAUAAUUUAAUUUGUCGUCUGCAACCUCUUUCAAUUUGGAAAAGGGUUAACUACCAGAAAUCAAUUAAUGCUGUAGUUUUGUUGAUGAGAAAUUAUUUUUCCUUUAAAAUGGGAGGUGAUUAUUGCUUAGGAAAUUGCUCUGGUAGGGUUGAAUCAUUGUGGGAAAUUGAGAAAUUGUUCAGUCCAAAAUAUGUUGAUUGGUAAAGGGUUAAAUGGAUACCAUUUUUAAAAUGGGAGGUGAUAAUUGCUUAGGAAAUUGCUCUGGUAGGGUUGGAUCAUUGUGGAAAAUUGAGAAAUUGUUCAGUCCAAAAUAUGUUGAUUGGUAAAGGGUUAAAUGGAUACCUUUUUUUUCCAAGUUACCCUUUUCCUUAUGCGAACAUGGGUUGCCUAUUUAGUGGAUGAUAUCUUGUCAAUUUUGAGAAAAAAGAGGAAUCUCUUCAAAACAAGCAAAAAUUCCUUUUAUCUCAAUGUUUAAGUCCACUUUUUAGCGUACCUGAGCUGAUCAUAUUUUCCUCCUAAACCAUUGAGCCAAUUUCAACCAAAUUUCAUGUGGAGCAUCCUUACGUCACGGGAAAAAAUAUUGUUAAAAAAAAAUUUGGUCACAUAACCCAGCUGGCCGCCAUGCCCAUAUAUGGUCAAAACCUUAAAAAAUCUUCUCGUCAGAAACGGCUCGUCGGAUUUUCAUUUUUUUUUACAGGGAUGAUCCUUAAAGGCUCCCCUAAAAAAGUUGUUCAAGAAAAUUUGUUUCGUUGAAAAACAUGGCCGCAGGAGCUCUUUGAACUUUGCAUGUUUAUACGUCUUUGCAUAUUUUGUGAAAACUUUGAAAAUCUUCUUGUCCAUAACCAUAAGGCCUAGGGCUACCAAAUUUGGUAUGUGGUGAAAUCUUAUAGUCCUCAACCAAAUAGGUAGAAAACAUGGUGUUUAAAGGAGAUUUUGCUUGCUAUGAGCAAUUUCUUCUUUUGUCUUCUUAAGUCAUCUGAGGUAGAAGGGUAACUCCCCUAACAGUACUUCAAGAAAUCCUUCAUUGCAUAACACCUGUGAAGAUGUAAGUUCAACUUCUGUUGAACCCAUAAACCCUUUACCAAAUGACAACUUUUGGACUGUCCCAAAUUCAAAGAGGUCGCAGAUGACAAAGAACAUUGUAAUGGAAUGUGAAGAAAUAGCUUUGGUAGGGUUGAAAUCAUUGUGAUAAAAGGAGAAAUUGCUCAAAAUAAGCAAUUUCUCCUUUAAUCACAAAUGAUUUCUAGAGUCGUCUGCAAUAAACCAGUAAAUUCUUGUUAUUGUUUGUAAUGGGUUGAUCCAUUUCCACAUUUUUGGUUGGAAUAACCCAAACGGUAACAGGAUUUUAUGGAUUUGGUGCAGAAGACUGUAUAAAUCAUUGUGAUUAAAGGAGAAAUUACUCAUAUUGAGCAAUUUCUCCUUUUAUCACAAUUAUUUAUACUCUUCCAAAGCUAUUUCUUCAUAUUCCAUUAUAAUUUUAAGUGUUGUCUGCAUCAUCUUUCAAUUUGGGACAGUUCAAAAUGUGUCAUUUGGUAAAGGGUUAAUGCUUUACCAAAUGACACAUUUUGGACUUUCCAAAUUAAAAGACUUAAAUUGUAAUGGAAAAUGAAGGAAUUGAUUUUGGUAUUUUAUAAAUCAUUGUGAUAAAUGAAGAAAUUGCUCAAAAUGAGCAGAUCUGGCAUCAUCAUUUAGACAUUUUAUAUUAGAUAUAUACUUCACUUUAAUGUUUACAUGUUGGAGUAUAUAGGGUCUACCAUUCCCUUGGUCCUCUUGUAUUACUUUUUAUGUUAAUUCAAUAAUAACAAAUGUGCGCAAAUAUAAAUGUACAUUAUUUGAUUUAUUUAGUUAUCUGUGUGAAAUUGUACACAUUUUUAUGCCCCUGGUAGGGUGGCAUAUAGCAGUUGCACUGUCCAUCUGUCUGGCAUUACAUUUUCCGGACUUUUUUCAUAAAUGCUUUGAGAUAUUAACCUUAUAUUUGUUGUGUUAGUCUACCUACAUGACUUACAGAUGAAUUGAGAGGUCCAUUGAGUUAUGGUCAUUGGACUUAGGAUUUCUCUAUUAUAAAUGUUUUCCUGAGAUUUUUUUUUUUACAAAAGUCUUUCAGAUAUUUAGCUGAUUUUUGGUAUGUAAGUCUAUCGACUUGACCUUCAGAUGAAGUGUUAGUUUUGUUCUGGCCCAUUGAUUUUUGGUGAUGUUAUGGACCUUUGACUUGGAAAUUAAUUUUCUCUAUAAUAACCGUUUUCCUGAUGUUUUUUUAUGAAACGCUUUAUGAUAUUCACUGAUAUUUUGUUUGUGAGUGUACCUACAUAACUUAAAGAUCAAGUCAGACUUUCAUUUCGGUCCAUUGAUAUUUGAUUAAAUCAGCGGCCUUGGGCUUUUCUUAAAAAUAACACUUCGGGAGAUUUUUCCAAAACGCUUUCAGAUACUGUCCAAGGCCCUAAACUUUGUCAUAUAUCAAUGGACCAUAACUUUGUAGUGAUUUUAAGCUCAUCUGUCACUAAGUGACAUAGUGAGCUUAUAUGACCGUGUGAUGUCCGUUGUGCGUCCGUCCGUCUGUCAACAAUUUGUUUGUGUAGACAGUAGAGGUCACAGUUUUCAUCCAAUCUUUAUGAAAUUUGGUCAGAAUGUAUAUCUUGAUGAAAUCUGGGUUGGGAUUGUAUUUGGGUCAUCUGGGGUCAAAAACUAGGUCACUAGGUCAAAUAAUAGAAAAACCUUGUGUAGACAAUAGAGGUCACAGUUUUCAUCCAAUCUUUAUGAAAUUUGGUCAGAAUGUUUAUCUUGAUGAAAUCUGGGUCGGAUUGUAUUUGGGUCAUCUGGGGUCAAAAACUAGGUCACUAGGUCAAAUAAUAGACAAACCUUGUGUAGACAAUAGAGGUCACAGUUUUCAUCCAAUCUUUAUGAAAUUUGGUCAGAAUGUUUAUCUUGAUAAAAUCUGUAUUGGGAUUGUAUUUUGGUCAUCUGGGGUCAGAAACUAGGUCACUAGGUCAAAUAAUAGAAAAACCUUGUGUAGACAAUUGAGGUCAGUUUUCAUCAGAUCUUAUUGAAAUAUGGUCAGAAUGUUUGUCUUGUUAAAAUCUUGGUUGGGAUCAAAUUGGGUCAUCUAGGGUAAAAACUAGGUCAAUAGGUCAAAGUUUAAAAAAAACUUGUGUAGACAGUAGAGGUCACAGCUUUAAUCAAAACUUAAUAAAAUUUGGCCAGAAUGUUAAUCUUGAUGAAACCUGGGUUGGGAUUGUAUUUGGGUCAUCUGGGGUCAAAAACUAGGUCACUAUAUCAAAUCAUAGAAAAAAAUUGUGUAGACAAUAGAGGUCAUAGUUUUCAUCUGAUCUUUAUGAAAUAUGGUCAGAAUGUCUAUCUUGAUAAUAUCUGAUUUUAAAUCGUAUAUGGGUCAUCUGGGGUCAAAAAUUAGGUCGCUUGGCCAAUUCUAGUAAAACCUUGUGUAGAUGAAAGAGGUCACAGUUUUCAUCACAUCUUAAUGAAAUUUUGUCAGAAUGUAUUAAUUGAUGAAAUCUGGCUUGGGGUUGUAUAUGGGUCUGAUAGAAUUUAAGUUGAUGUAGCAAGGUAAGUCAGGUGAGCAAUUCAGGGCCAUCAUGGCCCUCUUGUUCUUUGGAUAUUCUUAUGUUUUAAAUGAAACAGAUGUAUGUGUGUGUGUGUGUGUGUGUGUGUGUGUGUGUGCGCAUGUUUGUGCGUGUUUGUUUUUUAGGGUAUCUGAACUAUCUUCUGUUGACAUUUAUGGUUCAUAAUUAAAAAUUGCUCGGAGUGUUUUCAAUACUAGCUUGUUUGUUAAAGUUUUCAAUUUUCUUCAAUAAAAAAGUGAAAUUUGA
Dreissena polymorpha is the source of this 6169-nucleotide long non-coding RNA. RefSeq lists it as uncharacterized. NCBI's taxonomy places the organism in Eukaryota, Metazoa, Mollusca, Bivalvia, Myida, Dreissenidae. The record is from RefSeq and is a predicted model, not a curated record. The transcript has 2 exons.